CUCACCACAAAACAGAUACAUACUACGACUAGGAUGUCACCAGGCAUAGACUGCAAAGCUGUAACUCAAGUCACUAUUAAGACUGUAAUUACCUAUAAAAGUAUUCUACAUGUGUGUCCACGGAUGUGGGAUGUCCUAUUCCAAAACUCCCCAAUGAAAUAAAAGGGCUACUGAAAACCCAGCUCAACCGACAGAGGUCAGCGGCCACUGCACCCCGCCUCCACCAGCUUAAACUCCAGAAGGAGGCCACGCACCCAAGGCGUGCUAACCGGCUGGCUGGGAAGAGGUGAGCAUCUACUGAGAAACCCACUGCUGCCCGCAGCGGUGUCAGGCAGCCGGGGGUCUCCCCGCAGUGGCGCAAAGCGGACUGAAGUCGGGAGUGGCUAGGACCCUGCGCUGCCACGGCGGUGCUCUCGGCCAACGCACUUGUGUGCCCUCCGCCCGCCCACACCAGCGUCGCUUAACGGAAGAAGGCUCGAGUAGCAGCGGCGCAGCCAGGGCACCUGGGGGUGACACACGAGUGGGCGGGCGGUCCAGGGAGCCCCUGCUGGAAACCAGACGCUAAACCUUGCAGCUGUGCAGCUAAGGGAGCAUCUAUUUUCCAUUUGAGAGCAACGCGGGCAAGCGAGAACGGCCCGAUUUCGGUGCAGGGGUGCAUCCCGAGGGGGCGGGGGGCUGUUUCUGCGGCGGACCGGGCAGGGGAAACCGAGGCCACGCUGGAUCCGCAGCCCCGAGGUGUCCACGAGAGCUCCGCUCGCGCGAGGGCGCGGCGCGAGGCUGCCCGCAGGACCGGCCUGCGGUGCGAGCGGCUCUUGCCGGAAGCCGCUCGGAGAUAAAACAGGAAGUCCCACCCCUCCCUUAGAGAAGGAAAACGGAGAGCCGAAGGAGUCAAUCUAAAUACGAUGAGCACGUCGGGCUCGAAGGCAAGCGCUGUCAGCCCGGGAGGAGCGUCUGGGAUUUCUAGAGGGUCCCAGAACGGGUUCUUCCCGGGCCGAUCCCGCCUGCUUCCUGCCCUGUCCCUCCACCCGGCUCCCGCCCUCAGUAAGGGAUCCUGAGGGCGGCGCCGGAAACACGGAGACGGCCCAGAACGGCGCGGGACCCGAGAGGCCUACGCUGGCAAACGCAGCCCGCUGCCUCUCUGCCGGCUUCCCCGGGACCUGGAGUGGCUGCUGUCGCUUCUGGCGCUCCGAUUUCGAGAAAUGAUUUUCAGCUGUGCA
This 1217-nucleotide long non-coding RNA is filed under the name Piliocolobus tephrosceles (Ugandan red Colobus). RNAcentral describes it as "lncRNA (ENSPTEG00000029690.1)". The record is from RNAcentral. Lineage: Eukaryota; Metazoa; Chordata; Mammalia; Primates; Cercopithecidae.